UGGGGAAUCUUGCGCAAUGGGCGAAAGCCUGACGCAGCGACGCCGCGUGCGGGAAGAAGGCCUUCGGGUUGUAAACCGCUUUCAGGAGGGACGAAGCCACUCGGGUGAAUAGCCCAGAGGGUGACGGUACCUCCAGAAGAAGCCCCGGCUAACUACGUGCCAGCAGCCGCGGUAAUACGUAGGGGGCUAGCGUUGUCCGGAUUUAUUGGGCGUAAAGCGCGUGUAGGCGGCCAGAUAGGUCUGCUGUGAAAACUCGAGGCUCAACCUCGAGCUGUCGGCGGAAACCAUCCGGCUAGAGUCCGGAAGAGGAGAGUGGAAUUCCCGGUGUAGCGGUGAAAUGCGCAGAUAUCGGGAAGAACACCUGUGGCGAAGGCGGCUCUCUGGGACGGUACUGACGCUGAGACGCGAAAGCGUGGGGAGCAAACAGG
RNAcentral lists this ribosomal RNA (428 nucleotides) under Bacillota bacterium. RNAcentral's name for it is "Firmicutes bacterium partial 16S ribosomal RNA". It matches the Rfam family "Bacterial small subunit ribosomal RNA", at positions 355 to 776 of the family's 1533-position model. Lineage: Bacteria; Bacillati; Bacillota. The record is from RNAcentral. RNAcentral also lists the same sequence under 1 other name.